GAUGAACGCUGGCGGCGUGCUUAACACAUGCAAGUCGAACGGAAAGGCUCCUGCUUGCAGGGGUACUCGAGUGGCGAACGGGUGAGUAACACGUGGGUGAUCUGCCCUGCACUUCGGGAUAAGCCUGGGAAACUGGGUCUAAUACCGGAUAGGACGAUGGUUUGGAUGCCAUUGUGGAAAGUUUUUCGGUGUGGGAUGAGCUCGCGGCCUAUCAGCUUGUUGGUGGGGUAAUGGCCUACCAAGGCGUCGACGGGUAGCCGGCCUGAGAGGGUGUACGGCCACAUUGGGACUGAGAUACGGCCCAGACUCCUACGGGAGGCUGCAGUGGGGAAUAUUGCACAAUGGGCGCAAGCCUGAUGCAGCGACGCCGCGUGGGGGAUGACGGCCUUCGGGUUGUAAACUCCUUUCGCUAGGGACGAAGCGCAAGUGACGGUACCUGGAGAAGAAGCACCGGCUAACUACGUG
Molecule: ribosomal RNA, 465 nt
Filed under: uncultured bacterium
Lineage: Bacteria
Description: partial 16S ribosomal RNA
Rfam family: Bacterial small subunit ribosomal RNA
Source: RNAcentral